This 1105-nucleotide ribosomal RNA is filed under the name Microbacterium sp. Its description in RNAcentral is "bacterial SSU rRNA". It matches the Rfam family "Bacterial small subunit ribosomal RNA", at positions 56 to 1173 of the family's 1533-position model. The record is from RNAcentral. Lineage: Bacteria; Bacillati; Actinomycetota; Actinomycetes; Micrococcales; Microbacteriaceae.
UGCAGUCGAACGGUGAAGCCCCGCUUGCGGGGUGGAUCAGUGGCGAACGGGUGAGUAACACGUGAGCAACCUGCCCCUGACUCUGGGAUAAGCGCUGGAAACGGCGUCUAAUACUGGAUACGAACCGCAGCCGCAUGGCUCGUGGUUGGAAAGAUUUUUUGGUUGGGGAUGGGCUCGCGGCCUAUCAGCUUGUUGGUGAGGUAAUGGCUCACCAAGGCGUCGACGGGUAGCCGGCCUGAGAGGGUGACCGGCCACACUGGGACUGAGACACGGCCCAGACUCCUACGGGAGGCAGCAGUGGGGAAUAUUGCACAAUGGGCGAAAGCCUGAUGCAGCAACGCCGCGUGAGGGACGACGGCCUUCGGGUUGUAAACCUCUUUUAGCAAGGAAGAAGCGAAAGUGACGGUACUUGCAGAAAAAGCGCCGGCUAACUACGUGCCAGCAGCCGCGGUAAUACGUAGGGCGCAAGCGUUAUCCGGAAUUAUUGGGCGUAAAGAGCUCGUAGGCGGUUUGUCGCGUCUGCUGUGAAAUCCCGAGGCUCAACCUCGGGCCUGCAGUGGGUACGGGCAGACUAGAGUGCGGUAGGGGAGAUUGGAAUUCCUGGUGUAGCGGUGGAAUGCGCAGAUAUCAGGAGGAACACCGAUGGCGAAGGCAGAUCUCUGGGCCGUAACUGACGCUGAGGAGCGAAAGGGUGGGGAGCAAACAGGCUUAGAUACCCUGGUAGUCCACCCCGUAAACGUUGGGAACUAGUUGUGGGGUCCUUUCCACGGAUUCCGUGACGCAGCUAACGCAUUAAGUUCCCCGCCUGGGGAGUACGGCCGCAAGGCUAAAACUCAAAGGAAUUGACGGGGACCCGCACAAGCGGCGGAGCAUGCGGAUUAAUUCGAUGCAACGCGAAGAACCUUACCAAGGCUUGACAUACACGAGAACACCCUAGAAAUAGGGGACUCUUUGGACACUCGUGAACAGGUGGUGCAUGGUUGUCGUCAGCUCGUGUCGUGAGAUGUUGGGUUAAGUCCCGCAACGAGCGCAACCCUCGUUCUAUGUUGCCAGCACGUAAUGGUGGGAACUCAUGGGAUACUGCCGGGGUCAACUCGGAGGAAGG